CCUGAACGCUGGCGGCGUGGCUAAGACAUGCAAGUCGUACGGUCUCCGUAGCAAUACGGGGACAGUGGCGGACGGGUGAGUAAUGAAUCGCUAAUGUACCCCGGACUCUGGGAUAGCCGGCCGAAAGGCCGGGUAAUACCAGAUGAUGUGGCGACAGGGCAUCCUGUUGACCCCAAAGGGAAACCGGUCUGGGCGCAGGCGAUUUCGUAUCAGGUAGUUGGUGCGGGUAACGGCCCACCAAGCCGACGACGCGUAGCUGGUCUGAGAGGACGGCCAGCCACAUUGGGACUGAGACACUGCCCAGACUCCUACGGGGGGCUGCAGUAACGAAUCUUCCGCAAUGCACGCAAGUGUGACGGAGCGACGCCGCGUGGAGGUUAAGUCCUGG
Molecule: ribosomal RNA, 388 nt
Filed under: uncultured bacterium
Lineage: Bacteria
Description: bacterial SSU rRNA
Rfam family: Bacterial small subunit ribosomal RNA
Source: RNAcentral